GAAGUUGCAAGGAAGGCGAUCCCCCCUCCCCAAAAGCCUGAUGCAAAACCUCAGCUGCAUCCAGAGGUGGCCUGGCCCUCACCUGGUCGCCAUAGAAACGGGGACAGCCAGGAGGUAGAUUGGGCUGAAGACAACAUCUGGACUGGCUCAGCUGGGACCAAGGGGUGAGCAAAGUUAACUUGGAGAUGGUCUUUCUUCAUUCUUCACCAAAAGAAGUCUUCUUCUGGCUUCAGCUGCCGGAGACUGAGAUGAAGACAUUCAGGAGGGACUUCUUUGGGGUCUUCCGAGGUGAAAGUUUGAGAUGUAAACUCAGAAAGAUUCUGGGAUUGGUCUUUGUUUCCAGGAUGGUCUUGGGCUCACUCCUCCAUCUUCAGAAAAACCCAUUAAUUCAGGGCCAGAGAAGAGACCAAGGGCUGCCCAUCCUUCCCAGUUGCUGGACCUUGGCGGGAGCAUGCCAACCUGUGCAGCUGUGUCCACAAAUCAGAUUACUCGGGAGUAAAUUAAGACACCAUCUGGGACUUGACAUGCAUGCAAAA
Pantherophis guttatus is the source of this 536-nucleotide non-coding RNA. Lineage: Eukaryota; Metazoa; Chordata; Lepidosauria; Squamata; Colubridae. The record is from RefSeq and is a predicted model, not a curated record.